CGUAGGCAGCGAGCGUUGUUCGGAGUUACUGGGCGUAAAGAGUGCGUAGGCGGUUUUCUAAGUUGGUGUGAAAUCUCCCGGCUUAACUGGGAGGGUGCGCCGAAGACUGGAAGGCUUGAGUAUGGGAGAGGUAAGCGGAAUUCCUGGUGUAGCGGUGAAAUGCGUAGAUAUCAGGAGGAACACCUGCGGUGUAGACGGCUUACUGGACCAUAACUGACGCUGAGGCACGAAAGCGUGGGUAGCAAACAGGAUU
This 253-nucleotide ribosomal RNA is filed under the name uncultured bacterium. RNAcentral describes it as "partial 16S ribosomal RNA". It matches the Rfam family "Bacterial small subunit ribosomal RNA", at positions 526 to 779 of the family's 1533-position model. The record is from RNAcentral.